This 497-nucleotide ribosomal RNA is filed under the name uncultured bacterium. RNAcentral describes it as "partial 16S ribosomal RNA". It matches the Rfam family "Bacterial small subunit ribosomal RNA", at positions 28 to 507 of the family's 1533-position model. The record is from RNAcentral.
GAUGAACGCUGGCGGCGUGCCUAAUACAUGCAAGUCGAGCGAACGGACGAGAAGCUUGCUUCUCUGAUGUUAGCGGCGGACGGGUGAGUAACACGUGGAUAACCUACCUAUAAGACUGGGAUAACUUCGGGAAACCGUAGCUAAUACCGGAUAAUAUUUUGAACCGCAUGGUUCAAAAGUGAAAGACGGUCUUGCUGUCACUUAUAGAUGGAUCCGUGCUGCAUUAGCUAGUUGGUAAGGUAACGGCUUACCAAGGCAACUAUGCAUAGCCGACGUGAGAGGGUGAUAGGCCACACUGGAACUGAGACAGGGUCAAGACGCCUAAGGGAGGCAGCAGAAGGGAAUCGUCCGCAAUGGGCGAAAGCAUGACGGAGCAACGCCGAGUGAGUGAUGAAGGUCUUCGGAGCGUAAAAAUCUGUUAUUAGGGAAGAACAGAUGUGUAAGUAACUGUGCACAUAGUGACGGUACCUAAUAAGAAAGCAACGGCUAACUACGUG